CCCCUUUCCUCUAUAUCUAUUCCUCUCUACCUCUCCCUCUUUAAUUCCCUAUUCUCUAUCUUUAUCUAUCUCUACUCUUCAUCUCUGUCUACAAACUGACCUCAUAAACCAAAAUUUCCUUACUCUUCGGUGUACCCAUUGCACACCGAAUUUCGGAAUAUAAAUGUGCAGCUGGCAUAUUCUCAACCGUGUAGGGCAUUGCAGAGAUCAUCAUGCCGGAGCCCUUAGCUGGAAGGCCGCCGGCGACAGAGAAGAUCUCCCAGAAAAGAUUAGCCGUUGAGAGAAUGAUAACGGUAAAGAAAAUUAAAAAAAUGUUGAUGGAGAGAAAAUUAAAAAAAUGUUGAUGGAGACGGGAAAACGCAUUUGAAAUUAACACAAGGAUAAACAAUUCAGUUUCAUUCGAUUAGAGACAUCAGUUCUUUAUAAACAAUUCAGUUUCAUUCGGUUACAGACAUUCUUUCUUUCUCUGAUUGCCUCUCUCUGUCGAUGUUCUGUUCUGUGAUUGUAUCUUUUCAAUGUUCUGUUCUGUGAUUGUCUCUUUCCAAUGUUCUGUUCUUUCUAUCUGUUUUGUUCAAUUUUCAAGUGCUUCUUUCGUUUUCAUUUUUCAUUUUUCUUGUGUACAGCGUGCACGCUUGUCUGUCUGUCUAUUUUUUUUGUCUGUCUGUUUAUUUUUUGUGGCAGAGGAGAGGAAAGACAGAGGAGAGGAAAGGCAGAGGAGAGGAAGACGCAAAGCAACUGAGGGCAAAAUCUUCUUCCAGAUCCUUUUGGCUCAAGAGUAAAGGACUGAUGAAGUGAGUUCCAAUGCAGGCAUGAGAUGCAGGGCCUGCCAAGAGUUCAUAUAACUGAUGAAGAGAUGGGAAGUUUCUUACGACCUGCUUCCUAGAUCAACAGUAGCUGUUCUAGAAGAAAAACAUAUUUUCAAAACAGCUAACCCAGCGUUUGAAUUCUCUGUGUUCUCAGGAAAUGAGUUGAUCUUCACUUGCAUAGCUAAUCCAUUUGGAAUUUCUAUCAAGCACAGAUCCUAUGGGGAGGUUCUGUUCAACUCCUCUUAUGGCAGCUUGGUUUUCAUUAUCUGGUUUAUCUCCAUUAGAUGUGGUUCAGUGGUUUGCUGACCUCAUGGGACAUACAGCUGCAAUGCCCUCUUGGGCUUCUGGCAUGAGACGCAAGACCCAGUAAGAGUUCAUAUAACCAAUGCAGAGAAGAAGAGAUGGGAAGUUCCUUAUGACCUCCUUCCUAGAUCACAAGUAGCUGCUUUAGAAGGGGAAACCCAAUUCAAAAACAACUAUGGUAUAAAUGUUCUUCUAUAGUGGCAGUAAGUGGACACACAAGAUUAUGGGGGUUCACUGGACUUCUACUUCUUUGCAGGUUCGUCUCCAUUAGAUGUUCUUCAUAGGACACAGCUGCAAUGCCCUAUUGGGCUUUUGGUAUGUCCGUAGAAGCCUUGCUCUGCAAUUUGUUGUUGUAGCAUGGUAUUCUUUAGUGGCUUUCAAACUUUUUACAGCUCAUGCAAAUCAUCUAUAAUAGUAAGCUAUCAGCUAAUGGCUUUCAAACUUUUUACAGCUCAUGCAAAUCAUCUAUAAUAGUAAGCUAUCAGCUAAUUGAGCAUUAAUUGAGCUUUGUUGGUUAUGUAUUUUACUGAGUAGUGAAGGAAUUUAGUAAUUUUGGUUCAGGAUUUAAUAUUAUUAUUAUUUUGGAUUCCUUUUUGGAUUUAUUCAUUUCAUUUAACAUUUCAAGUGAGAUACAAGGAUACGAAUUUCCUUGGCUUUAGGUAUGCAGAUUUUAUUGUAUUCAGAUGUUUUGAAAAUUUAUUUGGUGGGUGCCACUGUUUUACAGGAUUAUUGAGGUCAAAGUUGAAGUGCUUGAUGAGGUUGACAUUUCUUGUGUACACCGUUCCUUUUUCUAAGAUGAUAUUUUAAGAGCUAUUUUAAGAUGAUUUUUGACAAAGCACUUGAUGAAGUGAGAUUCUAAUGCAGGCAUGAGACGCACGACCCAGUAAGAGUUCAUAUAACCAAUGCAGAGAAGAAGAGAUGGGAAGUUCGUUAUGACCUCCUUCCUGGAUCACAAGUAGCUGCUUUAGAAGGAAGCCAUAUUUCAAAUAUAGCUAACCCAGUGAUUGAAUUCUCCGUGAUUGCAGGCUACGAGUUGAUCUUAUCCUGCACAGCUAAUCCAUUUGGAUUUUCCCUUGGAGAGGUAAUCAGCACAAGUCUUCCCACAUCAGCUUAACUGUUACUUCUGUAUGAAUUGAUUAAUAAUAGAAAGGGUGAUUUUGGCUGGGUGAGCAGA
Long non-coding RNA from Cryptomeria japonica (Japanese cedar), 2283 nucleotides. RefSeq lists it as uncharacterized. The record is from RefSeq and is a predicted model, not a curated record. NCBI's taxonomy places the organism in Eukaryota, Viridiplantae, Streptophyta, Pinopsida, Cupressales, Cupressaceae. The transcript has 4 exons.